CUGCAGCCCGAGUGGUGAUCGAUUUUAUUGAGCCUAAAGCGUCCGUAGCCGGACUAGUAAACCCUUGGGUAAAUUGGGCAGCUUAACUGUCCGAAUUCCGAGGGGACUGCUAGUCUUGGGACCGGGAGAGGUCAGAGGUACUCCAGGGGUAGGGGCUAAAUCCGAUAUGCUUUCGUGGCAUUCGGUUAGCAUUCCUGUAAUCCUUGGGGGACCACCAGUGGCGAAGGCGUCUGACUAGAACGGAUCCGACGGUAAGGGACGAAACCCUGGGGCGCGAACCGGAUUAGAUACCCGUGUAGUCC
RNAcentral lists this ribosomal RNA (302 nucleotides) under uncultured archaeon. RNAcentral's name for it is "partial 16S ribosomal RNA". It matches the Rfam family "Archaeal small subunit ribosomal RNA", at positions 477 to 747 of the family's 1478-position model. The record is from RNAcentral.